CUCUGUGACUCCUACGGGAGGCAGCAGUGGGGAAUAUUGCACAAUGGGGGAAACCCUGAUGCAGCCAUGCCGCGUGUGUGAAGAAGGCCUUCGGGUUGUAAAGCACUUUCAGUAGGGAGGAAGGUAGUGUAGUUAACACCUGCACUAUUUGACGUUACCUACAGAAGAAGCACCGGCUAACUCCGUGCCAGCAGCCGCGGUAAUACGGAGGGUGCGAGCGUUAAUCGGAAUUACUGGGCGUAAAGCGCAUGCAGGCGGCCUGUUAAGUCAGAUGUGAAAGCCCCGGGGCUUAACCUCGGAAUUGCAUUUGAAACUGGCAGGCUAGAGUACUGUAGAGGGGGUAGAAUUUCAGGUGUAGCGGUGAAAUGCGUAGAGAUCUGAAGGAAUACCGGUGGCGAAGGCGGCCCCCUGGACAGAUACUGACACUCAGAUGCGAAAGCGUGGGGAGCAAACAGGAUUAGAUACCCUGGUAG
RNAcentral lists this ribosomal RNA (473 nucleotides) under uncultured bacterium. RNAcentral's name for it is "bacterial SSU rRNA". It matches the Rfam family "Bacterial small subunit ribosomal RNA", at positions 328 to 793 of the family's 1533-position model. The record is from RNAcentral.